UAGUACUACACAUUUCACAACACCUACACUCUCCUCUUUACAUGCUUAUAACCUUGCCAGUGGAAACACACAGCGUCACCCUCAGAUGAUACCACAGCAGCAACUUCAACCGUUUCAGGAAGGUCAAAUAUUUAGAACAUGAAGGGGAGGUGGGGACCACUACCCCGAGCGGUUCCCUGUCCUUGUCUCCUAGUCUCCAAGUCUUACAUGUUCACACAGCAGUUAUGCCAAGAUUAAUGGAAUGACAGCCUUUUGUUGCAAUUUUAGGGAACAAUUCUCGCUACUUACCAGCCUCUCGUAAAACUGAAAAUAUGUAAGGGUAGUCGAGUUCUCCCGGGCAAGAGGGCUCGUGGCGAUGGGGUGCCUGGGCAACCUGCACAUGACCUGAUUUGAGAGUGAAAAUUAGUAAAGAGCUGCUUUCAUUAAUCUAUAACUGUAGCAUAAACACCAGGACAAAAUCCUAAGGAUCUCAUCACAUGAGCUGAUGAACUAAUGAAUAAUAGAUACAUGGAUAAAGUGAAGACAUUGAAAAAUCACAACUUCUCAUCAUCCACAAAAGUACUUCCACAGUAGAACACAAAACAUUUUGUAAGUUAGAUAUACAGCACGGAAUAUUGUAUCAAGUUAACUGCUUUUAUCUACAGGCUUGAAGCAUAUCACCUUACUAAUUUAUCCUAAUCCAACCUAUUGUUGUAUAGUUGGGAGUAUUAUUAAAAAUCUUUAAUUACCACUUUUAAGUGUGUUAUACAAGGCCUAGUGGCAACUGGAAGAUAAGACCAAACAAUUAAACAUUUUCUAAUCUUAAAUUUCUAAAAUAUGAAGAAAUUAAUGAUAUAUGUAUAAACUGAUUUAGAGAAAGCAAAGUAGUAAUAAUAUGCAGGAAAAUAACAUAUUUUACUUGAACACUGAAAACAAGUAUAAUUUAACCCAUUAGCCCUGGAUUUAUG
Long non-coding RNA from Penaeus indicus, 947 nucleotides. RefSeq lists it as uncharacterized. The transcript has 4 exons. NCBI's taxonomy places the organism in Eukaryota, Metazoa, Arthropoda, Malacostraca, Decapoda, Penaeidae. The record is from RefSeq and is a predicted model, not a curated record.